AACGAACGCUGGCGGCAUGCCUAACACAUGCAAGUCGAACGAUAAGCCACCUUCGGGUGGUGGACAGUGGCGCACGGGUGAGUAACACGUGGGGACCUGCCUGAUAGUACGGAAAAACAGUUGGAAACGACUGCUAAUACCGUAUACGCCCUUCGGGGGAAAGAUUUAUCGCUAUCAGAUGGACCCGCGCUAGAUUAGAUAGUUGGUGAGGUAAUGGCUCACCAAGUCGACGAUCUAUAGCUGGUUUGAGAAGAUGAUCAGCCACAUUGGGACUGAGACACGGCCCAGACUCCUACGGGAGGCAGCAGUGGGGAAUAUUGUACAAUGGGCGCAAGCCUGAUACAGCAAUGCCGCGUGAGUGAAGACGGCCUUAGGGUUGUAAAACUCUUUCGCCAGGGAAGAUAAUGACGGUACCUGGUAAAGAAGUCCCGGCUAACUCCGUG
RNAcentral lists this ribosomal RNA (443 nucleotides) under uncultured bacterium. RNAcentral's name for it is "bacterial SSU rRNA". It matches the Rfam family "Bacterial small subunit ribosomal RNA", at positions 29 to 507 of the family's 1533-position model. The record is from RNAcentral.